GCCCUGCCGUCGCCCGGUGUUGGGGCUCUACGGGUGGGGCUCGCCCCCCCCCGCAGUCCCCCGAAAUGUAGUGGCGGUCCAGCCGCGGCGCCCCCUGCGUAGUAGAUCCUACAUCUCGCAUCGGGUCCCGGCGAAGGCCAGCCGUCGAACCUUUUUCAUUUCAUGGUUUGACCUCGGAUCAGGUAGGGUUACCCGCUGAACUUAAGCAUAUCAAUAAGCGGAGGAAAAGAAACCAACAGGGAUUGCCUUAGUAACGGCGAGUGAAGCGGCAACAGCUCAAAUUUGAAAUCUGGUCCCCUUUGGGGGCCCGAGUUGUAAUUUGAAGAGGAUGCUUUUGGCGAGGCGCCGUCCGAGUUCCCUGGAACGGGACGCCGCAGAGGGUGAGAGCCCCGUACGGUCGGACGCCGAGCCUCUGUAAAGCUCCUUCGACGAGUCGAGUAGUUUGGGAAUGCUGCUCAAAAUGGGAGGUAAACCCCUUCUAAAGCUAAAUACUGGCCAGAGACCGAUAGCGCACAAGUAGAGUGAUCGAAAGAUGAAAAGCACUUUGAAAAGAGAGUUAAAAAGCACGUGAAAUUGUUAAAAGGGAAGCGCUUGCGACCAGACUUGCGCCCGUCGGAUCAACCGUCGCUUGCGGCGGCGCACUCCGGCGGGCUCAGGCCAGCAUCAGUUCGUCCGGGGGGAGAAAGGCGGCGGGAAUGUGGCUCUUCG
RNAcentral lists this small RNA (708 nucleotides) under Scopulariopsis brevicaulis (arsenic fungus). RNAcentral's name for it is "eukaryotic LSU rRNA". The stretch from base 169 to 708 matches the Rfam family "Eukaryotic large subunit ribosomal RNA", at positions 1 to 546 of the family's 3401-position model. The record is from RNAcentral. Lineage: Eukaryota; Fungi; Ascomycota; Sordariomycetes; Microascales; Microascaceae.